Molecule: ribosomal RNA, 1414 nt
Filed under: Shigella boydii
Lineage: Bacteria; Pseudomonadati; Pseudomonadota; Gammaproteobacteria; Enterobacterales; Enterobacteriaceae
Description: partial 23S ribosomal RNA
Rfam family: Bacterial large subunit ribosomal RNA
Source: RNAcentral
UCCUGACUGACCGAUAGUGAACCAGUACCGUGAGGGAAAGGCGAAAAGAACCCCGGCGAGGGGAGUGAAAAAGAACCUGAAACCGUGUACGUACAAGCAGUGGGAGCACGCUUAGGCGUGUGACUGCGUACCUUUUGUAUAAUGGGUCAGCGACUUAUAUUCUGUAGCAAGGUUAACCGAAUAGGGGAGCCGAAGGGAAACCGAGUCUUAACUGGGCGUUAAGUUGCAGGGUAUAGACCCGAAACCCGGUGAUCUAGCCAUGGGCAGGUUGAAGGUUGGGUAACACUAACUGGAGGACCGAACCGACUAAUGUUGAAAAAUUAGCGGAUGACUUGUGGCUGGGGGUGAAAGGCCAAUCAAACCGGGAGAUAGCUGGUUCUCCCCGAAAGCUAUUUAGGUAGCGCCUCGUGAAUUCAUCUCCGGGGGUAGAGCACUGUUUCGGCAAGGGGGUCAUCCCGACUUACCAACCCGAUGCAAACUGCGAAUACCGGAGAAUGUUAUCACGGGAGACACACGGCGGGUGCUAACGUCCGUCGUGAAGAGGGAAACAACCCAGACCGCCAGCUAAGGUCCCAAAGUCAUGGUUAAGUGGGAAACGAUGUGGGAAGGCCCAGACAGCCAGGAUGUUGGCUUAGAAGCAGCCAUCAUUUAAAGAAAGCGUAAUAGCUCACUGGUCGAGUCGGCCUGCGCGGAAGAUGUAACGGGGCUAAACCAUGCACCGAAGCUGCGGCAGCGACGCUUAUGCGUUGUUGGGUAGGGGAGCGUUCUGUAAGCCUGUGAAGGUGUGCUGUGAGGUAUGCUGGAGGUAUCAGAAGUGCGAAUGCUGACAUAAGUAACGAUAAAGCGGGUGAAAAGCCCGCUCGCCGGAAGACCAAGGGUUCCUGUCCAACGUUAAUCGGGGCAGGGUGAGUCGACCCCUAAGGCGAGGCCGAAAGGCGUAGUCGAUGGGAAACAGGUUAAUAUUCCUGUACUUGGUGUUACUGCGAAGGGGGGACGGAGAAGGCUAUGUUGGCCGGGCGACGGUUGUCCCGGUUUAAGCGUGUAGGCUGGUUUUCCAGGCAAAUCCGGAAAAUCAAGGCCGAGGCGUGAUGACGAGGCACUACGGUGCUGAAGCAACAAAUGCCCUGCUUCCAGGAAAAGCCUCUAAGCAUCAGGUAACAUCAAAUCGUACCCCAAACCGACACAGGUGGUCAGGUAGAGAAUACCAAGGCGCUUGAGAGAACUCGGGUGAAGGAACUAGGCAAAAUGGUGCCGUAACUUCGGGAGAAGGCACGCUGAUACGUAGGUGAAGCGACUUGCUCGUGGAGCUGAAAUCAGUCGAAGAUACCAGCUGGCUGCAACUGUUUAUUAAAAACACAGCACUGUGCAAACACGAAAGUGGACGUAUACGGUGUGACGCCUGCCCGGUGCCGGA